CGCCCGUGUUAAUAGCCAAUCCUGACUUUGAUUCCUCAAUUAGUUUACAAAUAUUUAAAACAUGUGCUGGCAUGGAUUAAAUGAAUCGGAGGCGUUCUUUGACUUUGAAUCUCUAUAUCUUAUUUUUUUUAUUUUAAUUAGUGUCUUCUACCUUUUCUUAUUCAAAUCAAUCAUCACAGAAAAAAAAUAUUACGAACUGCUGUUAUAUGUAUGAUUCAAAAGUGAAUUGUUUUUAAGUGGCAGCAAUUUCUAAUUCUUAAUUCUCAGAGCAUAAGUUAGGUUUUUCUUUCGUAUUUUUUUUUUAGAAACUUAUUACUUCAGUGUAACGUUUACUUCGUACAUGUUUAACUUUGUCUUCCGAAGCUUUUAUCAGAGUGAAUCUUCUAUGUUAUCACAGUAUGUGUGGCAGUUUUGCCUUAUGCACUUUCAAGAGUAAAAUUCUCCAAAUUCCACUUGAGAAAUAGAAUAAACUUAGCAACUAUUCACUGUCAAAAUAUCUGUAAAACUUGAAGAGUUCCGUUAAAAUCAUCAACUUCCAAUCAGUUCAUUGCCUUUAAGCAUAUUUCUAGGAUGUAUAGAUAUACACAUGGUAAACCAGUCACUCUUAAAAACAGUUUUUAUCCAAUUUCUUUGAACAAAUAACUUUUUAUUUUACACCCGCAAGUACAACUUUUUAUUUUAAAUUUCCAAGUUUUUAUACUUGUU
Molecule: long non-coding RNA, 705 nt
Filed under: Mytilus galloprovincialis (Mediterranean mussel)
Lineage: Eukaryota; Metazoa; Mollusca; Bivalvia; Mytilida; Mytilidae
Source: RNAcentral